This 789-nucleotide ribosomal RNA is filed under the name Psora elenkinii. Its description in RNAcentral is "SSU rRNA". It matches the Rfam family "Bacterial small subunit ribosomal RNA", at positions 344 to 1215 of the family's 1533-position model. The record is from RNAcentral. Lineage: Eukaryota; Fungi; Ascomycota; Lecanoromycetes; Lecanorales; Psoraceae.
UGAACCAGCAACUUGGAGGAAUGUAUAGCGAUAGCUAAUUGCAUCGAAAAUAAGAUGCAAGAUUGAUUUAUUGAAUAAAAUUCUGGGUAGAAUUAUGAUUAUGACAUUGUCUACCCAUGUGUCUUGACCAAAUUACGUGCCAGCAGUCGCGGUAAUACGUAGAAGACUAGUGUUAUUCAUCUUUAAUAGGUUUAAAGGGUACCUAGACGGUAAAUCAAGCCCUAGACGGGACUAAUUUGCUAGAGUUACUUGUGAGGGGGUUUUAAAGUACUAAUGGUGUAGAGAUGAAAUUUUGUAAUACCAUUUUUCGAAAGAAAAGUAAUGGCACAGGUAUAGGCGAAAGCAUCCCCUUAUGUGAUAACUGACGUUGAAGGACGAAGGCUUUGAGUCGCGAACAGGAUUAGAUACCCUGGUAGUCAAAGCAGAAAAUAAUGAGUGUCAUAGAUUAGAUAUUAAAGUUUAUUCUAUAAAUGAAAGUGUAAGCACUCCACCUCAAGAGUAAUUUGGCAACAUUGGAACUGAAAUCAUUAGACCGUUUCUGAAACCAGUAGNNAAGUAUGUUGUUUAAUUUGAUAAUCCGCAAAAAACCUUACCACAAUUUGAAUAUUUAUAUCGUUGAUAUAAUUACAAGCGUUGCACGGCUGUCUUCAGUUAAUGUCGUGAGAUUUUGGUUAGAUCCAUUAAAUUAACGCAAGCCCUUACUUUAUUUUAAAAUAAAGUCGUUCCCCACUAGAUUGGAUAAGAUAACAGGGAUUAAGACAAGUCAUCAUGGCCUGAAUAUUGUGGGCU